This 397-nucleotide long non-coding RNA is filed under the name Rattus norvegicus (Norway rat). Its description in RNAcentral is "long non-coding RNA NONRATT016545". The record is from RNAcentral. Lineage: Eukaryota; Metazoa; Chordata; Mammalia; Rodentia; Muridae.
GCGGGCGGCAACGGGAAGGCGGCCGGCGCACACGCGCCCGCAGCGCCCCCACCUCAGGCAGCGAGGCCAGGGACUCGGAGAAUUUUUCACGGACAGCCUGUGGGGCACACUCCCCCACGCAUGGCAAGAAGUGCUGGACGGACUGAACCCACCAGAGCUGGCCACCCUGUUGCUGGGGAUGCCCAGGGAAGGGGAGGAGAUCAGGUACAGGUCUGUGUGGCCACUCACCCUGCUGGCCCUGAAGUCCACAGCUUGUGCCCUCGCCUUUACCCGGACACCUGGCUUUCACACUCCAUCAGAGUUCCUGGAGAACCCCAGCCAGAGCUCCCGGCUAACAGCUCCUUUUCGGAAACAUGUCAAGCCCAAGAAGCAGCAUGAGAUCCGGAGGCUGGGAGAG